This 25642-nucleotide long non-coding RNA is filed under the name Triticum aestivum (bread wheat). Its description in RNAcentral is "long non-coding RNA (TAES_LNC009381)". The stretch from base 10245 to 10331 matches the Rfam family "MIR1120/MIR1122 microRNA precursor family". Lineage: Eukaryota; Viridiplantae; Streptophyta; Magnoliopsida; Poales; Poaceae. The record is from RNAcentral.
UGACCGUCUCCGGCUCUAGUUCUUGGUGGAACCCAGCGGAUAUUGUGGGAGGCUGAAGAGCAUGCGUUAAUGGUAGAAAAGUCUAGUGAUUCUGCCUUUAGUAACCUUUAUUAUUUGCCACAAUGGUUGUACUACGCUGAUCAGCUGAGAGGUUGAUUCGAGUGUUUUCUUUUUGCGAGUUUGACAGAUGCUUGUGUUAUUAUCCUUUGCCUCUUAAGCAAUGAUCUUAAUGCACACUUGUUGAGUGCCACAUACAGUAGAUACUAUCUGCAAAGGAAAGUACACUCAAGUCAUCGAUCAUGCUGGUAUGUUGUUACACUCUUAAACCAGGUUAGUAAUGAGAUCGUUAGCUGAUGUUUGGAACAAAAAUGAAGGGCAUGCCCAAAUGUGACCCUUCCUGAGUGCACUUCAGCCUGUAUGAAUGUCGAAGUGCUUUUAGGCUACUAGCAUUCCAAAAGAGAUUAGCUGUACAUUCCGGUUACUAGCAUUCCAAUUAAAAUGAGAUUAACUGGAAUCCAGACUUUAAUCUACUUCCGUCUUAGUUCUUCCGUUGAAAUUACGCUGAAGAACUCAAGAUUCACGGGCGUAACCCACAGCGUAAUGAGAUUAACUGGAAUCUAGACUUCAAUCUAUGCGUGUCAGUUCUUCCCUUUUAAUCUAAAUUCGCCCCCCUAUAUAUCCACGAGGGUGUCUGCCUUGAACCCUCAUCGUUCAUGCACACAACUGUAUAUAUCCACGAGGGUGUCUGCUUUGAACCCUCAUCGUUCAUGCACACAACUGUAUAUAUCCACGAGGGUGUCUGCUUUGAACCCUCAUCGUUCAUGCACACAACUGUAUCCCUCAAAUUGUCCGAUCAAAUGUAUGUGAUUGAUGGAGAUGAAAAAAAAAGAAAGAAUAAAGAAUGAGAUAAAGUGGGCCAAAUGGAUGUGUCCGACGUGGUGGACUGCCGAACAUUUUCAGAUGUCCUCAUGUACUCCCGCAUAUAGGCUAAGUUUGAGGGUUUACGGAUAGCUCGGACGUACAUAGACAGGGGGAGGGGGAGGCCUGUUGGGUACGCCUUUUCCUUCUCUUUGCUAUCUGGUUAUCUGUCUGGACGUAUAUGAACAAAGGAGGGUGGUAGACAAUCAUCUUUUGCAGAUUCUUAGAUGUUGUGCGUGCAAUGUGCGUUGUAGAUUUCAUACUGUAUGUACUCGUUCAUUGUUUUGAUUGUUUCGUUUUUUUUCUCUCUUCAUCCCAGGCAUAGCUUUGGUCUUGUAUGACUUUGAUAUCUGCUAGUAGGAUUAUGUGUGUGUGCUAGUGUUGGCUGUGUGCAUCUUAAUUAUGCAGAGGCCGGGUGUGUAUUCAUAGUGCAUGUAUCCCCUUGAUGCUACAUUAUGAAUCAAUAAAAACCGCCCUUUACCGAAAAAGUUUGUGCGUGUUAUCUAAGCUUUUAUCUACUCCCUCCCUCCCAAAAUAUAAAAACGUUCUUAUAUUUUGAGACAGAGGGAGUAGCUCUGAGAGGAGUGUGCCAACACACACAAAAAUAGAUAAAUAAAUCAAAAUAAGCUAUGAAUUAUCAAUGUUAGAUAGAAGACAAACAGGAUCAGACUUGAACAGGGUAAUGAUACAUCAUCAUGCUGUGCAAAUCGACCAGCCAAUAAUCGCUUGGGUAGACCGUAGGCCAGUGUCCGCCUUUGGUUGCUCAGAAAACCUCCGGGUUGAAGUUCCCAGGCAUGGACGCCCCGCCGCCCGCGUUCCUGAGGUGCAUGGACAGCACAUACUUGUCCGCCUCGAGCUGCCGGACCUGCUCCCGGUGCUGGGCGACCUGGCCCUGGAGCUCCCUGCCCUCCGCCUCGUCCUCCAAGUGCUGCCGGUGCUGGAGCAGCACCGCCUUCUUCAGGAUGGUGUUCUGCCGCCGGAUGUUUCCCAGCUCCCGGUCCUUAUCGGCGACGACACGCGCGGCGCGAGUGCAGACGGCGCCCCCGAAGGCCUCGAGGAUCUUUGCGGCGCGGCGCCGGGCGUCGUCCAUGGAAGCGGCGCUCGCCAUCUCGCCCACCAGGACCUCCGUCCAUUCAGCCGCCGAUUGUUUUACUUUUGCAUGGUCGUCGUCUGCGGCGGCGGGCUGCGCCGGGGCGUACGGAGGAGCGGUGACCCCGUCGCCGUCCGGCGGGCAAUCCAGGCGCAGCUGGAGCAUCCUCUCCAGCACCGCUUGGAAGUCGUCCGUGUCCAUGGCGGACGGCUGGCUGGCGACGUCAACUCCCUUUUUGCUCGGCUCGAGUCCUUUUGGCAGGUAUGAGAGGCUGGUCGCGUAUAUAUGGGAAGCCAUGGUUGGAAACCGAGUCGAACAGUAACUGGCCGGCCUAACGGGCCUGGCGGCCCAACCUCGUUUCCGAGUUCGGCCGCGUGGCCAGCCCACGCAAAAGCCCAGCCCAGGGCCUCCCAACCGCAUAGCAUUUCUGCAUUUUUCCCCACUUGGUACCAAAAUCAAAUCGAAACCCCGGAAUUUCCAGACCAAACCCCUACCCCAUCCCCGGCACCGGGAAUGCGGCGCGGGCGCGGCGGCGGCGGCGGCGGCGGGCGGCACCCGAAGGCCCCCUCCUCCUCGGCGGCCGUGGACCGCACUCCGAUGACGGACCAGCCGCUCUACCCGCGGAACCUCGACCACGCCUUCUCCCGCCGCGACUCGGACGCCUUCAGCGUCUGCUCCUCCAUGGGCACGGCGCCCUCCCACGCCGCCCCCAUCACCAGCCUCUCCGACCGCGCCUCCCAGGCCGCCGCCCUCCGCGCCGUCAACGCCUACCUCGCCCCCGCCGCCAUCCACCUCCGCCCGCCCCUCCCGCCCGCCAAGGACAUCGUCGCCGCCUUCCACCACCUCGCCGACCGCCUCCGCUACCCCCUCAAGCCCGCCGCCUGGGAGGACGACCUCCUCGCCCUCCUCCGCUCCCUCGGAUGCCCCUACAAGGUCACCAGAUCCGNNNNNNNNNNNNNNNNNNNNNNNNNNNNNNNNNNNNNNNNNNNNNNNNNNNNNNNNNNNNNNNNNNNNNNNNNNNNNNNNNNNNNNNNNNNNNNNNNNNNNNNNNNNNNNNNNNNNNNNNNNNNNNNNNNNNNNNNNNGCCAAGGACAUCGUCGCCGCCUUCCACCACCUCGCCGACCGCCUCCGCUACCCCCUCAAGGCCGCCGCCUGGGAGGACGACCUCCUCGCCCUCCUCCGCUCCCUCGGAUGCCCCUACAAGGUCACCAGAUCCGCCCUCAAGGCCCCCGGCACCCCGCACUCCUGGCCGCCGCUCCUCUCCGUCCUCUACUGGCUCACCCUCCUCUGCCGCGCCACCGACGGGCUCGCCGCGUCUCCUCCCCCCUCCACUGACCUCAUGACCUACAUCACCGAGAGCUACUACCUGUUCCUCACUGGCGAGGAUGACGCCGUCGCCGCCCUCGACGACGACUACCACUCCAAGGCCCGCGCCCAAGUCGGUGCGUUGGGGGUGGCCAUUCAGGACCUGGAGAAGGAGGUUCAGGAUCUCGAGGCCAAGCGGAGCAAGCAAAUGUCGGCGCCCUCUCGCCUCAAGGCGCUGGAGGAGAAGAAGGAUGCAUUUACUGCCGACGUUCAGAAGUUCGAGGCGGUGGUCAAGAGCUGGUCCACCAAGAUCAAGGAGAAGGAAGAUGCCUUGGUGGAGAAGGAGAAGGAGCUGGAGGCCAAGGUGAUGAAUUGCCAGCAGACGAUGGCCGAGAAUGAGGAGCUGCUGAAACAGGUGGAGACGCAGGUGGUCAAUGUCAGAGAUGUUGAUAGGAUGGCUAGGGAGAUGCAAGCGGUGGAGCAUGAUAUUGCCAAGUUGGAGAAUGCCAAUGCUGUACUGGAGGAGAAGGGGUGGGAACUUGAAGCUGCACUUGUCAGCAAGCUCGAGGAGAUCGAGGGCCUUGCCGAGCUGUGCAACCAGUCCCUCAGGAAGUAUGAAUUCCCUAAAGAACAUUGGAUCUCCUGAUUCUUUGAUUUUUUUCUCAAUGUUUUUAUUCUUUCACCAAUGGUUCGAUUGUUAUCUAAGCACCUUUAAACUGACCUUAACUGAGUAACCAUGUUAUCUAAGCAUCUAUCUGUUGUAAUACUGAAAUGUUGCUCCAUAGUUCAAUAUGUUUAGUCUUCUUAACCUCCAUAGUUCAAAUAUUAGUUCAUUUGGAGAGUCAACUAAUUUUGUUCAUACCUAAGCACUCCAAUUACUUAAUCUCAGAAUUCUUUUUGUAUGAUCUUUUGCUUUGUUUAGGAUAUGCGGUCAUGCAGUUUACAAGAUUGUGCUUUAACUUGCGAUAGUGCUCUCUUGAUUGUGCAAUUUGUCUCAUGUCUUUUGUAUGUUACCUUUUACCUUUCUUGUUGUUUGUCAUUCUUAACUUGUUUUACUGCUUGUUUCCUUAACGGUUUAGAGUACACUCUGCUAGUCUGCUGUGUGUGCAAUUAUAUAGCUAAGCCUGCUUAGGGGAAAGCCUUAUUUUUUCGUGGACUAUCAUUGAGAUGUCAGGUUAGAUUAAGUAAACUGCUUUCUGUUCAAAACCAAUAAUCAUACUAUCAGUCGUUUGUUCUUAAGAUCUGGACGUACAUAGACUUCUGAUUGAGACAAUGAAUAAGGGUGUGCAUGAGGCAGUCCUCUAGUAGUUUACAUUAGCUGAAUAGAGACGGUUCCAACUUUGCAGUGUUACCCAUCAGAAAGUGCGGGAAAGUUGUAGGACAUGAUAUGUUUUUUGCCCUUGUUUUACUUUGUCCCCCAUUUUCCCUCCAAUUGUUUAUGUAGCUUAACUCUGUGUAAUCCCUUCACCCACUCUUCCUGAUCAUAAUUUCUUUAGUUCUUCUGUUGAAAAUAGUAUCAUGUUGCAAAUCGGCGACUUCAUGUGUGAAAGCAUUCCAGCAAGGUUGUAACUAUUUUUGUUCUAUGUGAUAAUUUAGCUUUCUUUUGGGUGAUAGACACAUGUUUAGGCAAACAUAGUUAUAAUUCAUUCAUAGUGCUCCUCUAUUGCUAGUUUGCUACAAUGUAAUAUAUCACAUGUUUAUAUAUUAAUUUGUUAUUGCUAUGAUUCAUACAUCUUUACAAAGAGCUUCUAAUAUGUUUCGCAUCAUAGCAUUCUUCAUAAUUGAGAAAUAUAAAAAUUAAGGGCUAUGCUAACAUCUUUCAAUUAAAAGAAAACAUCGCCGGGACAGAUGUUGUGUAACGCAGUAUUCUUAAGUAUUGUCCCUCAGUGCUUAGUUAGUGGCAGACUGAAGCAAACAAAGAUCAAAAUCUCAGAAAGAUAGAGUAUCAUUUUAUUGUGGUUUUGUUGUUUAUUCUUUGAGUUCUGUUUCGUCAAUUUAUAUAUAGAGCUUGUUGCCUUACUGUACUGUUGUGCCAUUUUGCAGGUUGAAACCCAGUAUUGAUUUCCAGUUCGAGGUAAAUGCAAAAGGAUCCUCCCCGGCUGAGAUCCUUGGUACAACCUACAAAACCACCCUGAAGCCCGCGCUCAAUGCUCUUGCUAAUGAGACUAAACGGCUAAUUAUCUCAAAGCGUGAUGAGUCAAUUGAUCUACAAAAGCAGUUGCAAGGAAUUGCUAAAAUGCUGGAGGAGAAAAGGAGCCAUGUUUCUGUUCUACAGGCUAAACAUAAUGAGGUCAGUCACCUUAUACUAUAAAUGAUACAUCACAGCAUGAAAAAGUAAAACAAAUACCUGAAGUCCAUUUUAACUCUUAGUAUGUUCAUGAUUGACUUUUUUAAACUCAUGCAUCAAAGUGGAAAUUCUUUCUGUAUAAUGCGAAAGUUGUUUACAAUCCUGGCAAAAUGGAGAUUCUGUACUUUGGGUUGAUAAAAUUCGUCCAGUAGUCUAAAAAUAUCAUGAAUUUAGUACUCAUUACAGCGUAGAAAAUAGUUGGCUUAUUAGUUAUGUGCUGUGCAUCAUGGAAAAAGUACUGAAGUGAACUCUUUUUUAUUUAAAUUCUCAAGUCAACACUGGCCAAUGGCUUACUUCCUUGUCUUAUAUUCCCUCAGUUCAACAAUACAUGUUAUAUUGUGUUUGACUUUUGACAUGGUCUCUAGCGUGCAUUUUUGGCUGUUGGUUUUCAUAUGAAUAAUUUAGCAAAGAGUCAUAAGAUUAUAAUUUUGUAAAUAUUUUCAGGGCAAACCUAAUCAUACUGUUUUCACUCUGCCAAUCCAAAUUAUAAACAUCAGUUGUCAAAGUUAGAGAUGCGUUACUUAUAUUCCUGAAUGGAGAUACUAAUUGGUUACAACGUUCCGGUGACCUGCAUUUUAUGGUACUGUGGUUUGUUUUAUUUCUCAUCUGCUCCAACUGCUAGAGAACCAGUGUCCUAAGGGCAUGUAUAAUGGGGUGAUGUCAGUUCCUCUUGGUAAUGCCCCUGCCACGUAAGAUGUUUCUAUCGAUGGAGUCAGAUGCCAUGUCUUGGUCUUAUUUAGUUAUCACUUAUCACUACAUAAUUUUAGGGGCAUGCAGAUAUUAAUUGCUAGAAACAACAUAAAGAGAUAAUCCAUUGUGUAACAUGUUCGAAUUAUCAUCUUUAAAUGACAUGGAAGCUUAAGAGAAGGUUGCCUUCUCAACUACUGCACAUGCCCUGAAAGGCAUCAGCGGUACUAGUAGUUAUAUUUCAUUUCACAUCGUGGUUUCUGUUCCCAGAUGACUGGUCAGCUGGAUUCACUGGAUCGUGAAAUCCAAACUCACGUUUCACGCUGCGCAGCCGAUGCUAGAAAAUUGAAAGACGAGCUAGAGAAAAAGGAACAUCACAUGAGCACCGUUGAGAAGGAGGCAGAAGAGUUUUUGAAGGUAACAUGGUCUUUUAAAUUUGCUCUGUUUCCCGUAGCAUGACACAUGUACCACCAUCAGAUAAAUUAUUUGCAUCAUUGUUGUGACUUGGCAGAACUCGGAAGAGGGUCUCCAGGCCGCAUUGAGGGAGACCGACGAAGAAACCCAGAUGUGCGCGAGGGAGCUGCUUAAGCUCAUCGAUUCAAUCGCGGAGUACAAGGAGUUUGUGGAACAGUUGACUGCCGAGAUGAAGAAAGACCUCUAUGAAUGCGUGGACGACAUAGCUUCGCUGUCAGCCAAGAUAGUCUGAGGCUGGUUACAUGUUGGAAGCGAGUUAGAUGUUCUCCCUCGGUUCCAUAAUGCAUUGCAUGUAGAUUUUUUGAAAAGUCAAACCUCACAAACUUUGAUCGAGUUUUUCUGGAGAAAAACAUCUACAUCACAAGAAGUAGUUUCGUAUUCGAUAUUUGGUAUCGAAGAUAUAAAUAGUUUUCUGUGUAAACCUGGUCAAAUUUUGCGAAGUUUGGCUUUUCAAAAUAUCUGUACGCACUACAUUAUGGAUUAUGGAGUAGAGGGAGUAUGUAUGAUGCUUUUAGAGAUUGUUGAAAUGACGGCUGUGUCUGAGCUCCCAGUUUCGUGACUGACAGUCAAGCGCAGAAAAAUAGAAGUCGUUACUAACAGGUCUUUGUGCAGCUGCAGGGGACAGCCCCCACGCACUGCCAUAAGAUAAAAACCAGAGCCAACUCAAGUUGCAGCUGCUAGGUAAACAGAUUCAGCAGCACUGCGUUCAAUUCAACAUACAGAACAACACUUUUAGCAAGGGUAUGUAUGGACAAACGAAUGGAUCAUGCAGCGUGCAUCGCCAUCCUUCGUCCUUGACAUAUGAGUAAGGUCAUGUCAGCAGGCUUAAUUCCUUGGAAACAAGAUUUAUUUCUUGUUUUCCAGAGUCUGAGAAAUGGCAGCAGCACCCACCAUAACCCCCUACCGAUCCCUACCAGAAACAACCAGGUAUUGCUCAAAUAAGAGGAGCAAGUAGGCUCUGUGCUGAUCCUAAACCCUGUGGCAGCAUUCCAGACACAUUUAGCUCGCCUUGAUGUCGCAGUGGAGCACCAUGGACUCAUACUCAUGGUAGACAUAGUGUAGGCCGCUGGCUAUGUCCCUGACGAUCUCGUACCGGGCGGCCCAUUCCCGGAUGUUAGCUCUGAACACGGGCAGUGGCUCUCCUUUGUUGUAACACCACCCUCGAAAGUAGUGUUCCCUCUGCCCCAAAAUAAGUGCCGCUGAUUUCAUACAAAGUUGAGGGUGUAGAUGAAAAAUAUAUUAUAUAUUUUUAGAACAAAAGCUGAUUUAGUGAACAAGACUUCUUUUUUUGAAAUUGCACUGAGCACAGCCUGUCUGAGUCCAAGUGAACAAGGGAUGAGAUGGGUCGUACUGUGACCAUUUCCGCCCAGGAGGUUAACCAUCAGAUCUUCAUAUUCACUUUGACAAAGAUGUCAAAUAUGGGGAAUGAGCUGAGACUAAACAAUACAUGAUGCACUAGCACUACAUUGCAGCUCAAGUUUCACUCCAUAAUUUAAUAACAACUCUAACAACUUAACAAGUAGAUAUCUUGCCUUGAUAAGCCAGCCAUAAUACCAAGUCAUGAAACAGAAAUUCCCUAGCACUGUCCAAAAGCCAGAAAUCAACACCAACUGUUGAAUAUCAUUCUACCACAACAUUCGUCAUGAUCACUACUUAGGUAGCUAGUGUUCGGUCCUUUUUUAUGCAAUUUGAAGUGCAGCAGCAUAGCGGUCGAUGACAACAUGCCACAGCGUACUGUCGACGACUUUGAAAGUGCAGGUGUCUCCUGCCUUGAGCCCGUUCUCCUUGCAGAAUUUUGGCCAGCCUGUUACAAGCCUAUUCGUAGCCUUUCUGGUGCCCGGAUACAAGGCCACACCUUCCACCUCCCAAGAAUUGUCGCUCUCCAUGGGCUUGAGCGCGAUCUUGCAACUCUCCACGAAUCCGAAGGGCCGUGGCAAACUCUGCAAGCCAUUGCAGCACAGGGCAAAAGUUAUUGGUUGGGAAAAUUGGAUAUUAUCGGAUGGGUUAUUUGUAUCACAGUUGAUGAGUGAAAUGAUGACAAAUUGACAACAUUAUGCACGAGUUGAUAAUACUCUGUCAUGUCAAGAGUUGUCUGAUAGAUUGUUUAGUUCCCUUAUUUCCAAAAGGUGCACUCGUAUUUCUUACUCUAUUUUUUUUUUCAAAUAAGUUCCUAAUUUGCUCAUGGAGUAAAAUAAUAAUUGUACUUACACAUUUUUAAGCACAGAACCGCUGCUGAUCGUCUUCCUUAACCAAGCCUGCGACCCUGCAGAUCCAAGCUCAUAGACACACUUUGUCUUCUUGUUUAGGUGCCCUGAAGUUGUUGGGCUUUCUACCAUCCUUUCGUUUCCUUUUCGGAGUUUUCGGAGUGGAAACAUGUUCUUCCUCUUGGCUUUGUGCUCCAGGAGCUGAGAGGACAAUGGUUGUAAUCAAUUUAAUCUAUGACCAAGAUAUAGUUUUUCAGAAAAGUUUGACUACUCACAUUGCUCGCUUUGCUGAGACGAGCUUGUUUCUUCCUCAAUGUGCUCAUUAUUCCCAUGUCCAUAGGUCUCCAAUGAGAAGGUCAUGCGCCCGUGAUACUUGAUCAGCAGGACAUGAGUUUCAGACAGGUUUUUGUGUUCCAGAAACUUUGGCCAUAAGGGUCCGGCGAAGAAGACAUUCGGGCCAUCCUUCUCGAGGUCGACAUGCCAGGAUGUCGAAAAAAUGGCUGCCGGUUUCGGUCUGCUCAGGUCUUCUUCUGAGAUGUAUCCUCGCCGCAGAAACUCAGGAGGGAUAGGCUGCAAGAACAGUUGGAACGACAUAAUGCAGUGAACAUACAUGCUCAGCAGCUUAAUGGUUCUGAACAUUUGAACGGGAAAAAUUAAACAAACCAUCUUUUCCUUGAAACUUGUCUGAAAUGGCACAAUGAACUGGGGCUUACGAGCAAAUGCAUUCUCGAUCUCAGCUGGGCUCAAAACUGAAUAUGAACAAGCGUGAAUUAGUUGUCUAAUGUUUGAGCUAUGAUUGUUGUAAUUGUUAGGUCAAAAGUACAUGUAACUAACUAAGGAAGUCCAGACGCACCAGUAAUUGUUAGGCCGAAUGGUUUAAUAACAAAGCCGUCGUCGAACACCUUUAGGGUGACCGUGCCGCGCAAUACAUGCUUGAACACCAAGUAGCAGCCGACGCCAAUGCCGUGCACGGCAACAAACUGUGGCCACCCAUCACCCAGGAACGAGCCGUUGGAGUCUCGGCCGACGGUGAUGCCCCAGGGUUUCUUGCCGAACGGACUCAUGAUGUGGGCCUUAUGUUCAGCGCCACGAUCUCCGGUAUCGAACCACCGAGCGGUCUCAUCGUUGAUGCGCUGCAUAAUCACAGUGGGGUUCGUCAUGGAAGUAUAUAUCAGGAUAUAAGAUGGACAACACUGGAGCAGUAACAGUGACGUCGUUCUUACUCCCUCCGUCCCAUAAUAUAAGAGCCUUUUUUACAAUAGUGUAGUGUCAAAAACACUCUUAUAUUAUGGGACGGAGGGAGUACAAGAUACUUGGAAGCAGGCAGUUUCACCAUCUGCUGCAUCUUGGUUCGCAUGCCAUAGUUGCCGGACGAUCCCAUUGCGCUUGACACUACCUGCGAACAGUGACAUGUCAACGUGCACGACAAGGACAGAGAAAUGCAAAUCUGUUGCAUCUGCAAGUGUAAAAGAAUGUAAAAACACUUUUUUCAGUCUUUUAUGUACGUACUGAUGAAGAAAAGAAUCAUCAGUAACUGCAAAGCCCUGCUUAUUAGCUCGCAUUACCUUGUGAUCCAGUGAACAGAGUCUCUAUUCCAUUUCCAAAGCAACACUAUGCAGAAUAGGUGAUCUUUAUAUACUACUGUAGUACAAAUUAAUGCAUGGAGGCUAGGCUAGUACAGUACAACUAGAAAUUAUUAGCUGGUUUUGUACUGAUUAUUUACAAACGAGGAGCCUCUAGCUAGUUUAGUUUCUAAUUAUAUAUAUUUGCCCUCUGAAGAAAGUCGUAUUAGCUGAUUUUGUGCUGAUUAUUUGCCUGGCUGUUUCCUCCUCACGCUGCUGGAAGCGGACCCCUUCCACCGGUAAAAGAAGAAAUUGCGAUAGCAAUGCUAGAUUCUAGCAUCGUGCCGUUUAUUUGCACUGGAUUGUACGAACCGGCUGAUUAACCAUGUACUGAAUGAUGUAACUCUGUCGUUUUCGCAAUAAAGUGCCAAGAGGCUUUUCCCUUAAAAAAAAAAGAAACCCUGCUGGUUCAUGUUUUCAAUCAAACUAGUAGUGCUCAUAUGGAUAUUGGAAGACAUGCAUGAACUAAAAUCUAGUAAAUAUCAAAUCAUGCCGGUCAGAGGCAGGAGAUCUCUUGAUGCAUGGCGUCUCCCAGGCGCGAAAUGUUUGAAAACGCAUCUGAGAGACCCGGGGUGGAUCUUCCGAAGAAAAGAAAAUAGUACUAUCACGUUUGAAUCGAAAUAAAUCACAUCUGGAGGGCUUUGGGCGUGUGAAAAAAAAAAGGCUGUUUUGAAAAUCAGUAGCAUACGCGGCGAAUAUCCAGCUUUGGAUGGAUCCGCGGCGUGGAGAUGGAGUACCCCAUCGGUAGAUCCAUUCGUUCCACGCUUACUCGACACCUCUCGAUUUGAGUGGGAGACACUAGCUAAUGCAUCUCACCAAGUCACAAGCCAAGGGUUUGAGUGAGGAGGGAAGAGGGGGAAAAGGAGGACGGAGAUGGGGGCCGGUUACCUCCUGCCCUGCUUCCCUACGGCCGGCCUUGCUCCUUCCUUCCUUGCGCUCCCCGUACGUCGACCGCCGGAGUGCCUGCGCCUCUCGCCUAGCUGUGCGCGGUGGCGGUGGCGGUGGCGGUGCCUGUGAGAGGGGAUGGGAGGUGAGGGGACGGGACGAGCGACUGCAGUGGAGUGGAGAGGCCAGCGGCGGACCGGACGAGCUACUUGUAGUGGUAGUGCUAGACAGUACUCGAUGCCGCUGUACUGUAGUAGCAGUGGUACUGCCAUGCACGGGACACGAAGCAAAUAAGUACAGUAGUAAUAAAAGAGCUUGCCGUCCCUUCCUCCCAGCUUCUGUCUCUUUGGACGUCGCCUACCACCACAUCACAUCACAUCAGGAUCAGAGACUCACGGGAAGAUAUCACAACACAACUCUAAAACAUAAAUAAGUCAUACAAGCAUCAUAAUACAAGCCAGGGGCCUCGAGGGCUCGAAUACAAGUGCUCGAUCAUAGGCGAGUCAGCGGAAGCAACAAUAUCUGAGUACAGACAUAAGUUAAACAAGUUUGCCUUAAGAAGGCUAGCAAAUACAGAUCGAAAGAGGCGCAGGCCUCCUGCCUGGGAUCCUCCUAACUACUCCUGGUCGUCGUCAGCGGGCUGCACGUAGUAGUAGGCACCUCCGGUGUAGUAGGAGUCGUCGUCGACGGUGGCGUCUGGCUCCUGGGCUCCAGCAUCUGGUUGCGACAACCAGGUAGAAAGGAAAGGGAGAAAAGAGGGAGAAAAGCAACCGUGAGUACUCAUCCAAAGUACUCGCAAGCAAGGAGCUACACUACAUAUGCAUGGGUAUAUGUGUAAAGGGCCAUAUCAGUGGACUGAACUGCAGAAUGCCAGAAUAAGAGGGGGAUAUCUAAUCCUGUCGAAGACUACGCUUCUGGCCACCUCCAUCUUGCAGCAUGUAAAAGAGAGUAGAUGGUAAGUUCACCAAGUAGCAUCGUAUAGCAUAAUCCUACCCGGAGAUCCCCUCCUCGCCGCCCUAUUAGAGAGCGAUCGCCGAGUUAUAUCUGGCACUUGGAAGAGUGUGUUUUAUUAAGUAUCCAGUUCUAGUUGUCAUAAGGUCAAGGUACAACUCCGGGUCGUCCUUUUACCGAGGGACACGACUAUUCGAAUAGAUAAACUUCCCUGCAGGGGUGCACCACAUAACCCAACACGCUUGAUCCCAUUUGGCCGGACACACUUUCCUGGGUCAUGCCCGGCCUCGGAAGAUCAACACGUCGCAGCCCCACCUAGGCACAACAGAGAGGUCAGCACGCCGGUCUAAAUCCUAUGGCGCAGGGGUCUGGGCCCAUCGCCCAUUGCACACCUGCACGUUGCGAGGGCGGCCGGAAGCAGAACUAGCCCCCUUAAUACAAGAGCAGGCUUACGUUCCAAUCCGGCGCGCGCCGCUCAGUCGCUGACGUCACGAAGGCUUCGGCUGAUACCACGACGUCGAGUGCCCAUAACUUUCCCAUGUAGUUGGUUAGUGCGUAUAGACCAAAUGGCCAGACUCAGAUCAAAUACCAAGAACUCGUUAAGCGUGUUAUUUUAAAGUAACCGCGAACGCCGACCAGGGCCAGUCCCACCUCUCACCUAGGCAGUCUCAACCUGCCCUGUCGCUCCGCCACAAAGAUCCACCCAGAGGGCCGUCGGGACAAAGGUCCUUUCAGCCCCCAAUCCGUGAAUCACUCGCGGGUGCUCCACGAGCCGACCCGACUUUAGUCUCCACAUGUAUCAUGUAUAAAGUAUAGUAUAUACCCGUGAUCACCUCCCAAGUGAUCACGGCCCGAUAGUAUAGCACAGCAGACGGACAAGAAUGUAGGGCCACUGAUGGAAAACUAGCAUCCUAUACUAAGCAUGUAGGAUUGCAGGUAAAGGUAACAACAGUAGUGGCAAAGACAGGCUAUGCAGCAGAAUAGGAUUAACGAAAAGCAGUAACAUGCUACACUACUCUAAUGCAAGAGUAUAGAGAAGAAUAGGCGAUAUCUGGUGAUCAAGGGGGGGGGGGCUUGCCUGGUUGCUCUGGCAAGAAAGAGGGGUCGUCAACUCCGUAGUCGAACUGGGCAGCAGCAGCGUCGGUCUCGUAGUCUACCGGAGAGAAGAGGGGGAAGAAACAGUAAAUACAAUGCAAACAUAAGCAUGACGGUGCAUGACAUGACAAUGCGCGGUGUCAGGUGUGCCCUAACGCGGUAGGAAGUGAUACCGACGAAGGGGGGAAACAUCUGGGAAAGUAUCCCCGGUGUUUCGCGUUUUCGGACAGACGAACCAGAGGUGAAAUGUUGCAUGUUUGAUAUGUUAGGGAUGUGUGGCGGACGAACGGGCUGCGUAUCUGGAUUCGUCUCGUCGUUCUGAGCAACUUUCAUGUAGAAAGUAUUUUCAUCCGAGUUACAGAUUAUUUUAUAUGAUUUUCUAAAGAUUUAAUCAUUUUCUAAUUAUAAUUAUUUAUUUAAAUCCAACAUUAUCCAGAACAGUAUGGGAUGACGUCAGCAUGACGUAUGUGUGAUGCCAGUGUUGGAAAUAUGCCCUAGAGGCAAUAAUAAAUGGUUAUUAUUAUAUUUCUUUGUUCAUGAUAAUUGUCUAUUGUUCAUGCUAUAAUUGUGUUAUCCGGAAAUCGUAAUACAUGUGUGAAUACAUAGACCACAACAUGUCCCUAGUGAGCCUCUAGUUGACUAGCUCGUUGAUCAACAGAUAGUCAUGGUUUCCUGACUAUGGACAUUUGAUGUCAUUGAUAACGGGAUCACAUCAUUAGGAGAAUGAUGUGAUGGACAAGACCCAAUCCUAAGCAUAGCUCAAAGAUCGUGUAGUUCGUUUGCUAGAGCUUUUCCAAUGUCAAGUAUCUUUUCCUUAGACCAUGAGAUCGUGUAACUCCCGGAUGCCGUAGGAGUGCUUUGGGUGUGCCAAACGUCACAACGUAACUGGGUGACUAUAAAGGUGCACUACGGGUAUCUCUGAAAGUGUCUGUUGGGUUGACACGGAUCGAGACUGGGAUUUGUCACUCCGUAUGACGGAGAGGUAUCUCUGGGCCCACUCGGUAAUGCAUCAUCAUAAUGAGCUCAAUGUGACUAAGGAGUUAGCCACGGGAUCAUGCAUUACGGUACGAGUAAAGUGACUUGCCGGUAACGAGAUUGAACAAGGUAUUGGGAUACCGACGAUCGAAUCUCGGGCAAGUAACGUACCGAUUGACAAAGGGAAUUGCAUAUGGGAUUGAUUGAAUCCUCGACAUCGUGGUUCAUCCGAUGAGAUCAUCGUGGAACAUGUGGGAGCCAACAUGGGUAUCCAGAUCCCGCUGUUGGUUAUUGACCGGAGAGGCGUCUCGGUCAUGUCUGCAUCUCUCCCGAACCCGUAGGGUCUACACACUUAAGGUUCGGUGACACUAGGGUUGUAGAGAUAUUAGUAUGCGGAAACCCGAAAGUUGUUCGGAGUCCCGGAUGAGAUCCCGGACGUCACGAGGAGUUCCGGAAUGGUCCGGAGGUAAAGAAUUAUAUAUAGGAAGUCCAGUUUCGGCCACCGGGAAAGUUUCGGGGGUUAUCGGUAUUGUACCGGGACCACCGGAAGGGUCCCGGGGGUCCACCGGGUGGGGCCACCUAUCCCGGAGGGUCCCAUGGGCUGAAGUGGGAAGGGAACCAGCCCUUAGUGGGCUGGGGCGCCCCCCUUGGGCCUUCCCGUGCGCCUAGGGUUGGAAACCCUAGGGGUGGGGGGCGCCCCCCCUUUGGCUUGUGGGGGAAGCCACCUCCCCCCCCCCUUGGCCGCCGCCCCCCCAUGCAGAUGGGAUCUCCAGGGCUGGCGCCCCCCCAGGGGGCCUAUAUAUAGUGGGGGGAAGGGAGGGCAGCAACACCACAGCCCUUGGCGCCUCCCUCUCCCCCUGCAACACCUCUCCCUCUCGCAGAAGCUUGGCGAAGCCCUGCCGAGAUCCCGCUACAUCCACCACCACGCCGUCGUGCUGCUGGAUCUCCAUCAACCUCUCCUUCCCCCUUGCUGGAUCAAGAAGGAGGAGACGUUGCUGCUCCGUACGUGUGUUGAACGCGGAGGUGCCGUCCGUUCGGCACUCGGUCAUCGGUGAUUUGGAUCACGGCGAGUACGACUCCAUCAACCCCGUUCACUUGAACGCUUCCGCUCGCGAUCUACAAGGGUAUGUAGAUGCACUCCUUUCCCCUCGUUGCUAGUAUACUCCAUAGAUGGAUCUUGGUGAUGCAUAGGAAAUUUUAAAAUUCUGCUUCGAUCCCCAACAGUGGCAUCAUGAGCCAGCCCUAUGCGUAGUUACUAUGCACGAGUAGAACACAAAGCAGUUGUGGGCGUAGAUCAUGUCAAUUUACUUGCCUCUACUAGUCCUAUCUUGAUUCGGCAGCAUUGUGGGAUGAAGCGGCCCGGACCGACCUUACACGUACGCUUACGUGAGACUGGUUCCACCGACUGACAUGCACUAGUUGCAUAAGGUGGCUGGCGGGUGUCUGUCUCUCCCACUUUAGUCGGAUCGGAUUCGAUGAAAAGGGUCCUUAUGAAGGGUAAAUAGUAAUUGGCAUAUCACGUUGUGGUUUUACGUAGGUAAGAAACGUUCUUGCUAUAAACCUAUAGAAGCCACGUAAAAACUUGCAACAACAAUUAGAGGAUGUCUAACUUGUUUUUGCAGCAUGUGCCUUGUGAUGUGAUAUGGCCAGAAGAUGUGAUGAAUGAUAUAUGUGAUGUAUGAGAUUGAUCAUAUUCUUGUAAUAGGAAUCACGACUUGCAUGUCGAUGAGUAUGACAACCGGCAGGAGCCAUAGGAGUUGUCUUUAUUAUUUUGUAUGACCUGCGUGUCAUUGAAUAACGCCAUGUAAAUUACUUUACUUUAUUGCUAAACGCGUUAGCCAUAGAAGUAGAAGUAAUCGUUGGCGUGGCAACUUCAUGAAGACACGAUGAUGGAGAUCAUGGUGUCAUGCCGGUGACGAAGAUGAUCAUGGCGCCCCGAAGAUGGAGAUCAAAGGAGCAAAAUGAUAAUGGCCAUAUCAUGUCACUAUUUGAUUGCAUGUGAUGUUUAUCAUGUUUUGCAUCUUAUUUGCUUACAACGACGGUUGUGAGUAAGAUGAUCCCUUAUAAUAAUUUCAAGAAAGUGAUCACCCUAACUGUGCACCAUUGCGAAGGUUCGUUGUUUCGAAGCACCACGUGAUGAUCGGGUGUGAUAGAUUCUAACGUUCGCAUACAACGGGUGUUGACGAGCCUAGCAUGUACAGACAUGGCCUCGGAACACACGCAAAACACUUAGGUUACCUUGACGAGCCUAGCAUGUACAGACAUGGCCUCGGAACACGGAAGACCGAAAGGUCGAGCAUGAGUCGUAUAGAAGAUACGAUCAACAUGGAGAUGUUCACCGAUCUUGACUAGUCCGUCUCACGUGAUGAUCGGACACGGCCUAGUUAACUCGGAUCAUGUUUCACUUAGAUGACUAGAGGGAUGUCUAUCUGAGUGGGAGUUCAUUGAAUAAUUUGAUUAGAUGAACUUAAUUAUCAUGAACUUAGUCUAAAAUCUUUACAAUAUGUCUUGUAGAUCAAAUGGCCCACGCUAAUGUCAACCUCAACUUCAACGCGUUCCUAGAGAAAACCAAGCUGAAAGACGAUGGUAGCAACUAUACGGACUGGGUCCGGAACUUGAGGAUCAUCCUCAUAGCUGCCAAGAAAGCAUAUGUUCUUGAAGCACCGCUAGGUGAAGCACCCGUCCCAGCAAACCAAGACGUUAUGAACGCCUGGCAAACACGUGUUGAUGAUUACUCCCUGGUUCAGUGCGGCAUGCUUUACAGCUUAGAACCGGGGCUCCAAAAGCGUUUCGAGCAGCACAGAGCAUAUGAGAUGUUCCAAGAGCUGAAAAUGGUUUUCCAAGCUCAUGCCCGGGUCGAGAGAUAUGAAGUCUCCGACAAGUUCUACAGUUGUAAGAUGGAGGAGAAUAGUUCCGUCAGCGAACACAUACUCAAAAUGUCUGGGUUGCACAACCGCUUGUCUCAGCUGGGAGUUAAUCUCCCGGAUGACGCGGUCGUUGACAGAAUCCUUCAGUCGCUUCCACCUAGCUACAAGAGCUUUGUGAUGAACUUCAAUAUGCAGGGGAUGGAGAAAACCAUUCCUGAGGUAUAUUCGAUGCUGAAAUCAGCGGAGGCGGAGAUCAAAAAGGAACAUCAAGUGUUGAUGGUGAAUAAGACCACUAAGUUCAAGAAAGGCAAGGGUAAAAAGAGCUUCAAGAAAGACGGCAAGGGAGUUGCCGCGACCGGUAAGCAAGCUGCCGGGAAGAAGACAAAGAAUGGACCCAAGCCUGAGACUGAGUGCUUUUAUUGCAAGGGAAAUGGUCACUUGAAGCGGAACUGCCCCAAGUACUUAGCGGACAAGAAGGCCGGCAAUACCAAAGGUAUAUGUGAUAUACAUGUUAUUGAUGUGUACCUAACCAGCGCUCAUAGUAGCUCCUGGGUAUUUGAUACUGGUGCGGUUGCUCAUAUUUGUAACUCAAAGCAGGAGCUGCGGAAUAAGCGGAGACUGGCGAAGGACGAGGUGACGAUGCGCGUCGGGAAUGGUUCCAAGGUCGAUGUGAUCGCCGUCGGCACGCUACCUCUACAUUUACCUACGGGAUUAGUUUUAAACCUCAAUAAUUGUUAUUUAGUGCCAGCUUUGAGCAUGAACAUCGUAUCUGGAUCUCGUUUGAUGCGAGAUGGCUACUCAUUUAAAUCCUAGAAUAUUGGUUGUUCUAUUUAUAUGAGAGAUAUGUUUUAUGGUCAUGCCCCACUGGUCAAUGGUGUAUUCUUAAUGAAUCUCGAAUGUGAUGUUACACAUAUUCAUAGUGUGAAUGCCAAGAAAUGUAAGGUUGAUAAUGAUAGUCCCACAUACUUGUGGCACUGCCGCCUUGGUCACAUUGGUGUCAAACGCAUGAAGAAACUCCAUGCAGAUGGACUUUUGGAGGCUCUUGAUUAUGAAUCAUUUGACACGUGCGAACCAUGCCUCAUGGGCAAAAUCAAGACUCCGUUCUCCGGAACAAUGGAGCGAGCAACCAACUUAUUGGAAAUCAUACAUACUGAUGCGUGCGGUCCAAUGAGCAUUGAGGCUCGCGGUGGCUAUCGUUAUGUUCUCACCCUCACUGAUGACUUGAGUAGAUAUGGGUAUGUCUACUUAAUGAAACACAAGUCUGAGACCUUUGAAAAGUUCAAGGAAUUUCAGAGUGAGGUUGAGAAUCAACGUGACAGGAAAAUAAAGUUCUUACGAUCAGAUCGUGGAGGGGAAUAUUUGAGUCACGAAUUUGGCACACACUGAAGGAAAUGUGGAAUUGUUUCACAACUCACGCCGCCUGGAACACCUCAGCGUAAUGGUGUGUACGAACGUCGUAAUCGCACUCUAUUGGAUAUGGUGCGAUCUAUGAUGUCUCUUACCGAUCUACCGCUAUCAUUUUGGGGUUAUGCUUUAGAGACUGCCGCAUUCACUUUAAAUAGGGCUCCGUCGAAAUCCGUUGAGACGACACCGUAUGAAUUAUGGUUUGGGAAGAAACCUAAGCUGUCGUUUCUUAAAGUUUGGGGAUGCGAUGCUUAUGUCAAGAAACUUCAACCUGAAAAGCUCGAACCCAAGUCGGAAAAAUGCGUCUUCAUAGGAUACCCUAAGGAAACCAUUGGGUAUACCUUCUACCUCAGAUCCGAAGGCAAGAUCUUUGUUGCCAAGAACGGGUCCUUUCUGGAGAAAGAGUUUCUCUCGAAAGAAUUAAGUGGGAGGAAAGUGGAACUUGAUGAGGUGAUAGUCACCCCUUCCGAACCGGAAAGUAGCGCAGCACGGGAAGAUGUUCCUGUGGUGCCUACACCGACUGGGGAGGAAGUUAAUGAUGAUGAUCAUGAAGCUUCGGAUCAAGUUACUGCUGAACCUCGUAGGUCCACAAGGACACGUUCCGCACCAGAGUAGUACGGCAACCCUGUCCUGGAAAUCAUGUUGUUAGACAACGGUGAACCUUCGAACUAUGAAGAAGCGAUGGCGGGCCCGGAUUCCGACAAAUGGCUAGAAGCCAUGAAAUCCGAGAUAGGAUCCAUGUAUGAAAACGAAGUAUGGACUUUGACUGACUUGCCCGAUGAUCAGCGAGCCAUAGAAAAUAAAUGGAUCUUUAAGAAGAAGACAGACGCGGAUGGUAAUGUGACCAUCUAUAAGGCUCGACUUGUCGCUAAGGGUUAUCGACAAGUUCAAGGGGUUGACUAUGAUGAGACUUUCUCACCCGUAGCGAAGCUGAAGUACGUCCGAAUCAUGUUAGCAAUUGCCGCAUUCUAUGAUUAUGAGAUAUGGCAAAUGGACGUCAAAACGGCAUUCCUUAACGGCUUCCUUAAGGAAGAAUUGUAUAUGAUGCAGCCGGAAGGUUUUGUCGAUCCUAAUAAUGCUAACAAGGUAUGCAAGCUCCAGCGCUCCAUCUAUGGGCUGGUGCAAGCAUCUCGGAGUUGGAACAUUCGCUUUGAUGAGAUGAUCAAAGCGUUUGGGUUUACAUAGACUUAUGGAGAAGCCUGUGUUUACAAGAAAGUGAGUGGGAGCUCUGUAGCAUUUCUCAUAUUAUAUGUGGAUGACAUACUAUUGAUGGGAAAUGAUAUAGAAUUCUUGGAAAGUAUAAAGGCCUAUUUGAAUAAGUGUUUUUCAAUGAAGGACCUUGGAGAAGCUGCAUAUAUAUUAGGCAUCAAGAUCUAUAGAGAUAGAUCAAGACGCCUCAUUGGUCUUUCACAGAGUACGUACCUUGACAAGAUAUUGAAGAAGUUCAAUAUGGAUCAGUCCAAGAAGGGGUUCUUGCCUGUAUUGCAAGGUGUGCAAUUGAGCACGACUCAAUGCCCGACCACGGCAGAAGAUAGAGAAAAGAUGAGUGUCAUCCCCUAUGCCUCGGCCAUAGGGUCUAUUAUGUAUGCCAUGCUGUGUACCAGACCUGAUGUAAACCUUGCCGUAAGUUUGGUAGGAAGGUACCAAAGUAAUCCCGGCAUGGAACACUGGACAGCGGUCAAGAAUAUCCUGAAGUACCUGAAGAGGACUAAGGAUAUGUUUCUUGUUUAUGGAGGUGACGAAGAGCUCGUCGUAAAAGGUUACGUCGACGCUAGCUUCGACACAGAUCUGGAUGACUCGAAGUCACAAACCGGAUACGUGUAUAUUUUGAAUGGAGGGGCAGUAAGCUGGUGCAGUUGCAAGCAAAGUGUCGUGGCGGGAUCUACAUGUGAAGCGGAGUACAUGGCAGCCUCAGAGGCAGCGCAAGAAGCAAUCUGGAUGAAGGAGUUCAUUACCGACCUAGGGGUGAUUCCCAAUGCGUCGGGCCCGAUGACUCUCUUCUGUGACAACACUGGAGCUCUUGCCCUUGCCAAGGAGCCCAGGUUUCACAGGAAGACCAGGCAUAUCAAGCGUCGCUUCAACUCCAUUCGUGACAGUGUUCAAAAUGGAGACAUAGAUAUUUGUAAAGUACAGACGGACCUGAAUGUAGCAGAUCCGUUGACUAAACCUCUCCCUAGAGCAAAACAUGAUCAACACCAGAACUCUAUGGGUGUUCGAUUCAUCACAAUGUGACUAGAUUAUUGACUCUAGUGCAAGUGGGAGACUGUUGGAAAUAUGCCCUAGAGGCAAUAAUAAAUGGUUAUUAUUAUAUUUCUUUGUUCAUGAUAAUUGUCUAUUGUUCAUGCUAUAAUUGUGUUAUCCGGAAAUCGUAAUACAUGUGUGAAUACAUAGACCACAACAUGUCCCUAGUGAGCCUCUAGUUGACUAGCUCGUUGAUCAACAGAUAGUCAUGGUUUCCUGACUAUGGACAUUGGAUGUCAUUGAUAACGGGAUCACAUCAUUAGGAGAAUGAUGUGAUGGACAAGACCCAAUCCUAAGCAUAGCUCAAAGAUCGUGUAGUUCGUUUGCUAGAGCUUUUCCAAUGUCAAGUAUCUUUUCCAUAGACCAUGAGAUCGUGUAACUCCCGGAUGCCGUAGGAGUGCUUUGGGUGUGCCAAACGUCACAACGUAACUGGGUGACUAUAAAGGUGCACUACGGGUAUCUCUGAAAGUGUCUGUUGGGUUGACACGGAUCGAGACUGGGAUUUGUCACUCCGUAUGACGGAGAGGUAUCUCUGGGCCCACUCGGUAAUGCAUCAUCAUAAUGAGCUCAAUUUGACUAAGGAGUUAGCCACGGGAUCAUGCAUUACGGUACGAGUAAAGUGACUUGCCGGUAACGAGAUUGAACAAGGUAUUGGGAUACCGACGAUCGAAUCUCGGGCAAGUAACGUACCGAUUGACAAAGGGAAUUGCAUAUGGGAUUGAUUGAAUCCUCGACAUCGUGGUUCAUCCGAUGAGAUCAUCGUGGAACAUGUGGGAGCCAACAUGGGUAUCCAGAUCCCGCUGUUGGUUAUUGACCGGAGAGGCGUCUCGGUCAUGUCUGCAUGUCUCCCGAACCCGUAGGGUCUACACACUUAAGGUUCAGUGACGCUAGGGUUGUAGAGAUAUUAGUAUGCGGAAACCCGAAAGUUGUUCGGAGUCCCGGAUGAGAUCCUGGACGUGACGAGGAGUUACGGAAUGGUCCGGAGGUAAAGAAUUAUAUAUAGGAAGUCCAGUUUCGGCCACCGGGAAAGUUUCGGGGGUUAUCGGUAUUGUACCGGGACCACCGGAAGGGUCCCGGGGGUCCACCGGGUGGGGCCACCUAUCCCGGAGGGUCCCAUGGGCUGAAGUGGGAAGGGAACCAGCCCUUAGUGGGCUGGGGCGCCCCCCUUGGGCCUCCCCCUGCGCCUAGGGUCGGAAACCCUAGGGGUGGGGGGCGCCCCCCCUUUGGCUUGUGGGGGAAGCCACCUUCCCCCCCCCUUGGCCGCCGCCCCCCAUGCAGAUGGGAUCUCCAGGGCCGGCGCCCCCCCAGGGGGCCUAUAUAUAGUGGGGGGAAGGGAGGGCAGCAACACCACAGCCCCUGGCGCCUCCCUCUCCCCCUGCAACACCUCUCCCUCUCGCAGAAGCUUGGCGAAGCCCUGCCGAGAUCCCGCUACAUCCACCACCACGCCGUCGUGCUGCUGGAUCUCCAUCAACCUCUCCUUCCCCCUUGCUAGAUCAAGAAGGAGGAGACGUCGCUGCUCCGUACGUGUGUUGAACGCGGAGGUGCCGUUCGUUCGUCACUCGGUCAUCGGUGAUUUGGAUCACGGCGAGUACGACUCCAUCAACCCUGUUCACUUGAACGCUUCUGCUCGCGAUCUACAAGGGUAUGUAGAUGCACUCCUUUCCCCUCGUUGCUAGUAUACUCCAUAGAUGGAUCUUGGUGAUGCGUAGGAAAUUUUAAAAUUCUGCUUCGAUCCCCAACAGCCAGCAGUCAAUAGUGCGGUUGACUGGAGUCAAAACUGACUUGUGGGUCCAGUGGGACCCACCUGUCAUUGAGCCAGAGUUGAAAUAGGAUUUGUUUUAAACUAAUUAUGAUUAACUAAGUGUGGGCCCCAUUAGUCAGUGACUAAUUAGCCUAGAUUAAUUAUUUUAACUAAUUUAAUUAGCUUAUUGAGUGGGGGCCACUGGUCAGCUGCUGGGACCAGCCUAGUCAGCAAGUUGACCAUGGUCAACUGGGCCAACCGGGCUCCUGGGGCCAGCAGGCAGUGACCGUGCUGGACCCUAGCGGCAGGCCACGUCGGCGGCCGGCACCGGAGCGACUCCGGCGACCAAAACAACGGGGGCCCCUCGCCGGAGUUGGCCGGAAUCGCGCUACGGGGCUCGGGGAGGAGCAUGGAUAGGUGCGUUCGAACGAGCUCACAACGCCGCGUCUAGUGGUGGCCGUAGCAUCGCCGGACUUGGCCAGAAUCGGCGCCGGCGAGCGGCGGAGGUGGCGGCGUGCACGGGUGCUCGACGAAAACGGAGCUGCGGCGUGCAAGCGAGCAAACAGAGAGGCUGGGGAGUUUCUACGCGGCGUGGGGAGUGCAACGGGGUUGAGCCCGUGACCAAAAGGUCACCGGAGCCUUGCCGGCGGCGAGCUCUGCGGUGAUGCGUUCGGGCGCUCAUCGGGGACGGCGUUAGGAGGCACGGGAGGGAGCGUGCGCAGGCGCGUUGGGCACCUAGGAACCCCAGGAGCACAACGGUGAGCUCGGGCGAGCGUGACGGCGGCUGUGGCCACGGCGGCGAGGUACACCAUGGCGACCAGAGCCUGGGCACGAUGACGAGCUAGCUAUAGCGCGAGCUAGGGGAGCUAGAGGGCAGAGGAGGGAGGCAGCUCACCGUGCGGCACGCAAGAUGGCCUGUGGUGGUUUAGUAGCAGCAGAGGAAACCGGAAUCGAGGGAUCUCGCCGGCGACAGAGGCGGAAGGGGGCGAGGUCGUGCGACGUCAGCGGUGCUUCCCAGCUCCACCUGAGGGCACCAGACGACGGAGUCGACCCCGGCGGAGCUUCACGACAAGACGGCGGAGCGAGGCGGUGGCUGUGGCCGUGGUGACGACGAAGAACGGCGGCGAGCGCGCUCGGGAUCGAGCGAGAGGAGAUGGGAGAGAUGGAUCUAGGGGAGGGGAGGUGCAAAGGCGAGCGAGAGGGGGGCAAGUGGGAGAGAUGGGUGGAGGCCGAGGCGUCGGGGCGGCCUUAUCCCCUCCCGGUGUCGGCGUCGGCGAGGUGGUCGGGCGGGGACGUGCCCCUGUAGCGGCACGCACCAGGGAAACAUGAGGGAGGGGAGAGCGACCGGGGAGGGGAGCUGGGCCUGUCUCUGUGGCCAUAGGCUCAGGGGCAUGGGCUUCCUCUCUCUUCCCUUUGCUUUCCUUUCCUUUUUUGAUUUAUUCCUGUUUUGCAAAUUGCUUAGCCACCAUUAGAGUUUUGUAAUAUAUGUGACUUAGCUCAACAAUUAUAGUGCAAUAUUUACCACUGCCAAAAAAAUGGUUUGGAGCCAAAAUGAUUUCAUUUGAAUUUUUAAUAAAUGAUAUGGCACUUUAAAUUUCUGUUUGAUGCUGUUUCAUGUUGUUUGAGUCACAUAAUGAAUUUAGGUGAUGUUUAUUUUUCUAAAGAUAAUUAGUUAUGAAUUAUUUUCUAUUUAAUGAACAUUUUAGUUUGCAUGUUUGAGAAACUUUGAAUUUCACUCAUAAUUUGAAUUUGAAUUUGACUUUGAUUUUUCAUCAAGUGAUAAAUAGCUCAGUAAGCAUGGUGACCUAGCACCAUUAACAGGGGAUUACUGUAGCAUGACACUGGGGGUGUUACAGUGGAAGGGAACCAGCCCCUAAGUGGGCUGGGCGCCAUCCCCCUUAGGGCCCAUGCGCCUAGGGUUGGGGGGAACCCUAACGGGGGCGCCCCCCUUGCUUGGGGGGCAAGCGCCCUCCCCCUUGGCCGCCACCCCCCUCUAGAUCUCAUCUAGAGGGGCCGGCCCCCUUCCCCCUUCUCCCUAUAAAUAGAGGGGUAGAGGGAGGGCUGCAGCACCACAUCCAAGGCGCAGCCCCUCCCCUCCCCAACACCUCUCCUCCUCCGCGUGAGCUUGGCGAAGCCCUGCCGGAGAACUGCCACUCCAUCACCACCACGCCGUCGUGCUGCUAUUGGAGCCCUCUUCCUCAGCCUCUCCCUCCUCCUUGCUGGAUCAAGGUGCGGGAGACGUCACCGGGCUGCACGUGUGUUGAACUCGGAGGUGCCGUUGUUCGGCGCUAGGAUCGGAAUCUACCGCGAUCUGAAUCGCUACGAGUACGACUCCCUCAUCCGCGUUCUUGCAACGCUUCCGACUCACGAUCUUCAAAGGUAUGAAGAUGCACUCCCCUCUUGUUGCUAGUAAACUCCAUAGAUUGAUCUUGAUGAUGCGUAGAAUUUUUUUAAUUUCUGCAACGAUCCCCAACAGUGGCAUCAUGAGCUAGGUCUAUGCGUAGUUUCUAUGCACGAGUAGAACACAAGUUGUUGUGGGCGUCAAUUUUGUCAAUUUACUUGCCAUUACUAGUCUUAUCUUGAUUCGGCGGCAUCGUGGGAUGAAGCGGCCCGGACCGACCUUACACGUACGCUUACGUGAGACACGUUCCACCGACUGACAUGCACUAGUUGCAUAAGGUGGCUAGCGGGUGUCUGCCUCUCCCACUUUAGUCGGAUCGGAUUAGAUGAAAAGGGUCCUUCUGAAGGGUAAACAGAAAUUGGCAUAUCACAUUGUGGUUUUGGCGUAGGUAAGAAACGUUUUUGCUAGAAACCUAUAGCAGCCACUAAAAAAAAA